Molecule: ribosomal RNA, 581 nt
Filed under: uncultured bacterium
Lineage: Bacteria
Description: bacterial SSU rRNA
Rfam family: Bacterial small subunit ribosomal RNA
Source: RNAcentral
AUCAGACACACUGGAACUGAGACACGGUCCAGACUCCUACGGGAGGCANNNNUGGGGAAUUUUCCGCAAUGGGCGAAAGCCUGACGGAGCAAUACCGCGUGAGGGAUGAAAGCCUAUGGGUUGUAAACCUCUUUUUUCAGGGAGGAACAAAAUGACGUGUACCUGAAGAAUAAGCAUCGGCUAACUCCGUGCCAGCAGCCGCGGUAAGACGGGGGAUGCAAGUGUUAUCCGGAAUCACUGGGCGUAAAGCGUCUGUAGGUGGUUAAGUAAGUCAACUGUUAAAUCUUGAAGCUCAACUUCAAAAUCGCAGUCGAAACUAUUAGACUAGAGUAUAGUAGGGGUAAAGGGAAUUUCCAGUGGAGCGGUGAAAUGCGUAGAGAUUGGAAAGAACACCGAUGGCGAAGGCACUUUACUGGGCUAUUACUGACACUCAGAGACGAAAGCUAGGGUAGCAAAUGGGAUUAGAUACCCCAGUAGUCCUAGCCGUAAACAAUGGAUACUAGAUGUUGAACAGAUCGAACUGUGCAGUAUCAAAGCUAACGCGUUAAGUAUCCCGCCUGGGAAGUAUGCUCGCAAGAGUG